CCAGCAGCUGCGGUAAUUCCAGCUCCUUCAGCCUGAGAUAGAAUUGUUGCAGUUAAAACGCUCGUAGUUGGAUUUUGUGGUGUGGUUUUGUGAUAUUUUGUAUGCAUAUUCGUAUGUAUAUGAGGUAUGACAACACACUAUAAUGGUGUUUUCUACGUUUCGACAAGGAAAACAUAUUACUGUGAGAAAAAGAGUGCGCUUAAGGGCGGCUUAUAUGCUAAGAUCAUUUAGCAUGGAAUAAACAUAACGGACAUUGGUUUGUUAUGUGUUGGUUUUCAAACCAAGUCAUGAUUGAUAAGGAUGGUUUGGGGAUGUUCGUAUUUAUACUCGAGGGGUGAAAUCUGAUAACA
RNAcentral lists this ribosomal RNA (350 nucleotides) under uncultured eukaryote. RNAcentral describes it as "partial small subunit ribosomal RNA". It matches the Rfam family "Eukaryotic small subunit ribosomal RNA", at positions 567 to 926 of the family's 1831-position model. The record is from RNAcentral.